Molecule: ribosomal RNA, 435 nt
Filed under: uncultured bacterium
Lineage: Bacteria
Description: partial 16S ribosomal RNA
Rfam family: Bacterial small subunit ribosomal RNA
Source: RNAcentral
AGCGAACGCUGGCGGCAGGCUUAACACAUGCAAGUCGAACGGGCAUAGCAAUAUGUCAGUGGCAGACGGGUGAGUAACGCGUGGGAACGUACCUUUUGGUUCGGAACAACACAGGGAAACUUGUGCUAAUACCGGAUAAGCCCUUACGGGGAAAGAUUUAUCGCCGAAAGAUCGGCCCGCGUCUGAUUAGCUAGUUGGUAGGGUAAUGGCCUACCAAGGCGACGAUCAGUAGCUGGUCUGAGAGGAUGAUCAGCCACAUUGGGACUGAGACACGGCCCAAACUCCUACGGGAGGCAGCAGUGGGGAAUAUUGGACAAUGGGCGAAAGCCUGAUCCAGCCAUGCCGCGUGAGUGGUGAAGGCCCUAGGGUUGUAAAGCUCUUUUGUGCGGGAAGAUAAUGACGGUACCGCAAGAAUAAGCCCCGGCUAACUUCGUG